Molecule: ribosomal RNA, 699 nt
Filed under: uncultured Planctomycetota bacterium
Lineage: Bacteria; Pseudomonadati; Planctomycetota
Description: bacterial SSU rRNA
Rfam family: Bacterial small subunit ribosomal RNA
Source: RNAcentral
UCGCAAUGCCCGAAAGGGUGACGAAGCGACGCCGCGUGAGUGAGGAAGGCCUUCGGGUUGUAAAGCUCUGUCAGGAGUUAAGAAAUAUAAGUAUGCUAAUACCAUAUUUAUUUGACGAAGGCUCCAAAGGAAGCCACGGCUAACUCUGUGCCAGCAGCCGCGGUAAUACAGAGGUGGCAAGCGUUGUUCGGAAUUAUUGGGCGUAAAGAGCACGUAGGUGGGUUUGUAAGUCAGAUGUGAAAGCCUUCUGUUCAACGGAAGAAUUGCAUCUGAAACUGCGAGUCUUGAGUGUAGGAGGGGAGAAUGGAACUUCUGGUGGAGCGGUGAAAUGCGUAGAUAUCAGAAGGAACGCCGGCGGCGAAAGCGAUUCUCUGGCCUAUUACUGACGCUCAGUGUGCGAAAGCUAGGGGAGCAAACGGGAUUAGAUACCCCGGUAGUCCUAGCCGUAAACGAUGGGCACUAAGUAGAGGGAAUUACCGAUGUUCUCUCUGCCGUAGCUAACGCAUUAAGUGCCCCGCCUGGGGAGUACGGCCGCAAGGCUAAAACUCAAAAGAAUUGACGGGGGCUCGCACAAGCGGUGGAGCAUGUGGCUUAAUUCGAUGCAACGCGAAGAACCUUACCGGGGCUUGACAUGGUAGAAGUAGGAACCCGAAAGGGUAACGAACGGUAUCCAGUCCGUAACUAUCACAGGUGUUGCAU